GUUCUUCCCAUUGUGUAGAUGCUCCUUGACUUAUGAUGAGGUUACAUUCCAAUAAACCUAUUUAACUUAAUGGUUUAAAUUGAUGUCAUAUUGAAAGACAAAAUUUCCACAAGAAGAGACACUUUGAAUACAGAAAAUUCUCAAAAAUGCCUCUCUCAAUCAAGUUCCAUCUUGUGAUACUUUUACUCUCACCUUCGUAGGCCUAUCAGUUCACUUAUUCUGAGAAAUCAACUUGGAAUAUCAAGGAGUGAAACAGAUUGGCUAAGGUACUCAAAAACAUAACAACUGGUGCCCACUUCUUUACUUUGUCAUAACUAAACAAGGCAUCCGAAUAACCUGUUAUAGAAGCAAAAUUAUCUUCAAGGUGACUCUCCAUCCAUUUCUGUAUUAUAAGACAUUGCUAAUCAAUCAUGCUCCGUGCACCACCUCUGGAAGCACUCGCAAUCCUUUUGAACACAGUCUUCUGGGAAGCUGCUCUGAUAUUAGACCUGACAGAAGAUGA
RNAcentral lists this long non-coding RNA (502 nucleotides) under Rhinopithecus bieti (black snub-nosed monkey). RNAcentral describes it as "lncRNA (ENSRBIG00000045679.1)". The record is from RNAcentral. Lineage: Eukaryota; Metazoa; Chordata; Mammalia; Primates; Cercopithecidae.